Molecule: long non-coding RNA, 290 nt
Filed under: Ricinus communis (castor bean)
Lineage: Eukaryota; Viridiplantae; Streptophyta; Magnoliopsida; Malpighiales; Euphorbiaceae
Description: long non-coding RNA (RCOM_LNC000049)
Source: RNAcentral
GACAAUUCAAAAUUUGCUUUUGCUGCAGUGGUGGUACCAGCUCCUACUCAACAGACACCAACACCAAAACCUAAAGUAACUCCAGCUCCUACUCAACAGACACCAACACCAAAACCUAAAGUAACUCCAGCUCCAGGUAUGUAAUUAUUUUCCCUUCUAAAUUCUUUUCCUUUUCUAUCAUAUGUCUGGCGGAGGAUGCUAGUAUCUCUCUUAAACUCUUGAUCUGGCUCAUCAUCGAGGUUGAGCAUUUAAAUUUGGACAUGAAGAUCUAAUCGAGAUGUAUCUUUGGC